AGCAGCUGAAGUGAAAGUAUUCAGUCACGCUCCACUUUACAGUCUGUAGAGCAGAAGGAGGAAAACAACAAGUCUGACGCAGUGUUACUGGUUUACCUCUCAGACCCCAGAAGAUGGAGGAAGAGGAGGACGGAGCAGAGUCUGUAAUAUCCAGCCGUCUGUCUAUGAAGAGUGACUGGUCUGAUCAUCAUCCUCCUCUCUUCAGUAAUGAACCUGGACCCUCAGACACAAAACUUUCUGACUGUGGACUCUCAGAGACUCACUGUGAAGUUUUGGCCUCAGCUCUGAAGUCCAGCCUCCAUCUGACACAUCUGGAC
Scomber japonicus (chub mackerel) is the source of this 317-nucleotide long non-coding RNA. RefSeq lists it as uncharacterized. NCBI's taxonomy places the organism in Eukaryota, Metazoa, Chordata, Actinopteri, Scombriformes, Scombridae. The transcript is spliced from 3 exons. The record is from RefSeq and is a predicted model, not a curated record.